Molecule: unclassified non-coding RNA, 305 nt
Filed under: Hevea brasiliensis (rubber tree)
Lineage: Eukaryota; Viridiplantae; Streptophyta; Magnoliopsida; Malpighiales; Euphorbiaceae
Source: RNAcentral
GAUUAUAAUGUUAGUGCAACAUUUAAUGUUUCUGAUUUGUCCCAUUUUGAUGAUGCAGAUUUACAUUCGAGGGCGAAUGCUUUUGAGGAGAGGGAAAAUGAUGCAAGAUCAAAGGCAAAUCCAAUGGACCAUGCACAAGAGGAGGUUCAGCCAGCCCAUUAUGAAGCUUUGAAUGUUUCCCAAUAAUAAACAAUGGGCCAAUCACAAGAUGUAUGCAUAAAACCAUGUUACAUGCCAACUUGUGCCGAAUUCAACUAAGAGCUUAAAAGACCAGCAAACAUAGAUGGAUGAAGGCAUAAACCAGC